Cavia porcellus (domestic guinea pig) is the source of this 2368-nucleotide long non-coding RNA. RefSeq lists it as uncharacterized. NCBI's taxonomy places the organism in Eukaryota, Metazoa, Chordata, Mammalia, Rodentia, Caviidae. The transcript has 3 exons. The record is from RefSeq and is a predicted model, not a curated record.
UGGGCUCUGUUUCCCAGCUUUCAGAUGAGUCCCACACCAUCUCGUGAGGACAAAGAUGGCUGCCACUUAGCAAAUGCCGCUGGAGUGAAAGACCUCUUCUGGAGAAGUCCCAGGGAUGUCCUCACUGGUCUGGCUUGGUUCAUGUUGUUACUGGAGUUUUGAGGCACUUCCACAGCCAGAACGUGGUCUUCUUGAACUGCAUGGAGAUGGAGCUCAGCGGCCCUCGACAGGAGCCUCCUGUGACCUGGAACAAGUGCAGCAAGUCCAGAGCUGGCCUGUCCAUUCCAUAGCCACAGCUCCUCCUGUUCCACCUCCUGCCGAGUCUGCCCACUCUGAAUGCUACCUGAUGCCGUGCCAGAAGGGCUGCCAAUGUGACUUAGAUUUUGUGCUUAGCAGCAUGGAUUGUGUGCCCCCCCCCCCAGUGCAGCUGCUCCUUGGGGGACAGAUAGCACCCAGCCAGGGAGGCCUUCUGGGUUGGGGAGCACGGUGAACAGUUCUACUGUUGAGAGCCUUCCAGCCACACUGUGACCACACCCUGUCCUCUCCUUGGCCUAGGCUGGGAUGCAGACACUCAGGGGCAUCUCCAGGGCCAUGCACACUCCCCUGACAUUUGCCAGGCAUCCGGGCACUGGCACAUUAUCUCCUGUGAUGGGAGGACUGCCAAGUCCCCAGGCACCUGUGUCUCUCUGUCUUUGCCAAGUUCUGGCUCUGCUGUCCCCUUACCCUUCUUUCAGGAGGAGCUGAGGAAGGUGAACAGGGCCAGCAGCCCCUGGCUCCCAUCUGGGAGCUGUCUAUCCAGGUCCCUGGGAGGCAGCUUUGUCUGCAGAGAGCAAGCUGGCUGAGGUUUGCACCAUCAACAUCUAGAGACCCUUACUCUUGGACUGACCUAAGUUAAAAGAAAUGCGUUGGCUCAACCACGUGAAAACCACGUGGUAAGUGCAGUGAUCUGAUCUACAGAACUUUUCUGUACGUCAGUGUGGUUAUUUGGCCUACAAUUAUGGAAAGCCUCGUUCAAAUUAAAUCAAGCAAAUCAAAUUUGGAGAUUUCCUAUUCCUAACUGAAUAUUCCAUAGUGGGGAUCAGGCAUGGGGUGAUGAAAGCAUGGACCUGGUUUCUCAAUAUUUCUCUUGGUCUGUAGUAUCAUUAGCUUAGUCAUCGGACUGCGCUUUUUGUUUUUGUUUUCUGGGGACAAAAUGACAGCAGAGUUACUAUGCUUCAAAGGUGUAUUUUUCACUGUCAAAAAUCCACAUAUUUCCUUACCUGAUGUAUUAAAAUUUCCUCCCUCUCCUCCCCUUUCUUUCCCUCCCUUCCUUUCUCUUGCAGUACUGGAACGGAACCCAGUACAUGUUAGGAAAAAGUCCUCCACCGCUGAGUUACAUUGCCAGCCCUUUUAAAAAUACUUUUCCGUGACGGAGUCGCUCCAACCCAGGCUGGCCUCGAAUUUCGAUCCCCUGCCUCAUUCUCCAGAACCGCUGGGAUUACAGGGCUGCAGCACCCCGUUUUGAUCAAAAUUUGUAUACUUCACUUUCAUUGGCCCGCACUGAGCCAAUCACUGGGGCCCAGCGGUCGUUUUAAGCCUAUUAGAUCCUAUCCUCAUGAGCAGUAGGUGGGACAGAUCCCUUAGCAAACCUCCUUGCGGCUCCUCCGGGCAGGGGAGGUAAAGUGGGACAUGUCCCCUAAACCAGUAUUUCUUGUCGCGACCAUCCUCAAAGAAAGUUCCCUAGUGAACUUCCCCUCUGAGACCGGAAGCUUCGGGUGGGUUGUGUUCCACGCCCAAGGGGCCCUGCAUACAAGAGUAUCUUUGUUGGCUGCUGGAAAGCACACAGUCACACCCAUCCCGCUCCACCCCCUUCCGGGAAGGGAACUAGCUUUCAGCUGGAGGGCUGCGGUCAGCUUAUGCAUAACCAGCCCAUUGAAUCCAAAGGGCAGCCCUGCAGGGACCGCUGUUAUUAUCCCAGCUGUACAGAUGGGGAAACUGAGGCUCGGGCGCGAAGCUGGAAUGCCUGAGGUCACACACACAAUGCGAAUGUGGUGGAGCUGGGAGGUGCGCCCAGGCCGUUGGCACUGAGUUCCUUCCUUCUCCACCUGCAGGCCUGGGGGCCCUGGGACGGAAGGAGGGUGGGGAAGGAGGGUGGGGUUCAUGAGUCAUCUGUUUUCGCCUGGUGUAGAAUGAAUAACCCUCAAGUAUGGUUUUCAUUGUUUUUUGUACAGGGGAGUGAAUCCAGAGCCUUCACACUGAACUGCAUCCCCAUCCCUUUUUAAACAUUAUUUACAGAGUCUCCUUAGGUGGUUAAAUUGCUGAGGCUGAGCUCAAAGUUGUCAUUUUCUUGCCUUAGCCUCCCAGAGUGCUAGGAUUAUUUCCUGGACAU